AGACAAAUAGUACUUGCUUAAGCAGUAAAUUGAAAUGAUACAGAGAAGAUUAGCAUGGCCCCUGUGUAAGGGUGGCACACAAAUUUGUGAUGUGGUCCAUAUUUUU
Molecule: small nuclear RNA, 106 nt
Filed under: Carlito syrichta (Philippine tarsier)
Lineage: Eukaryota; Metazoa; Chordata; Mammalia; Primates; Tarsiidae
Source: RNAcentral